Unclassified non-coding RNA from Panthera pardus (leopard), 97 nucleotides. The record is from Ensembl. NCBI's taxonomy places the organism in Eukaryota, Metazoa, Chordata, Mammalia, Carnivora, Felidae.
CUGAGAGGAUCCUCUCUUCUGCUACACGUUCACUCAUGUGGGAAAAUCAGUAGACUCUCUAGAACACUUUUCAAAAGACAUCCUUCACAAUUUAGCC